This 241-nucleotide ribosomal RNA is filed under the name uncultured bacterium. RNAcentral's name for it is "partial 16S ribosomal RNA". It matches the Rfam family "Bacterial small subunit ribosomal RNA", at positions 114 to 354 of the family's 1533-position model. The record is from RNAcentral.
CGCGUAGUAAUCUGCCUAUCAGAGGGGAAUAACAGUGAGAAAUCAUUGCUAAUACCGCAUAUACUAAUUUUAUUGCAUGAUAGAAUUGGGAAAGGAGCAAUCCGCUGACAGAUGGGCUUGCGUCUGAUUAGUUAGUUGGCAGGGUAAAGGCCUACCAAGACGAUGAUCAGUAGCCGGACUGAGAGGUUGAACGGCCACAUUGGGACUGAGAUACGGCCCAGACUCCUACGGGAGGCAGCAG